Molecule: unclassified non-coding RNA, 335 nt
Filed under: soil metagenome
Description: partial contains 5.8S ribosomal RNA, internal transcribed spacer 2, and large subunit ribosomal RNA
Rfam family: 5.8S ribosomal RNA (bases 1-120)
Source: RNAcentral
GAUGAAGAACGUAGCGAAAUGCGAUAAGUAAUGUGAAUUGCAGAAUUCAGUGAAUCAUCGAAUCUUUGAACGCACAUUGCGCCCCUUGGUAUUCCGGGGGGCAUGCCUGUUCGAGCGUCAUUUCAACCCUCAAGCUCUGCUUGGUAUUGGGCUCCGUCCUCAGGGACGCGCCUCAAAGACCUCGGCGGUGGCGUCUUGCCUCAAGCGUAGUAGAAAACACCUCGCUUUGGAGUGCUGGGCGUCGCCCGCCGGACGAACCUUUGAAUUUUUCUCAAGGUUGACCUCGGAUCAGGUAGGGAUACCCGCUGAACUUAAGCAUAUCAAUAAGCGGAGGA